This 440-nucleotide ribosomal RNA is filed under the name uncultured bacterium. RNAcentral describes it as "partial 16S ribosomal RNA". It matches the Rfam family "Bacterial small subunit ribosomal RNA", at positions 338 to 795 of the family's 1533-position model. The record is from RNAcentral.
CCUACGGGAGGCAGCAGUAGGGAAUAUUGCACAAUGGGGGAAACCCUGAUGCAGCAACGCCGCGUGGAGGAUGAAGGUUUUCGGAUUGUAAACUCCUUUUGGUAGAGAGGAUAAUGACGGUAUCUAACGAAUAAGCACUGGCGAACACCUUGCAAGCAGCCGCGGUAAGACGGAGGGUGCAAGCGUUAGUCGGAAUCGCGGGGCGUAGAGAGCACGUGGGCGGGAUAGCAAGUCAGAUGUGAAAGCCUCUGGCUUAACCAUAGAACUGCAUUUGAAACUGUUAUUCUAGAGUAUGGGAGAGGUAGGUGGAAUUCCUGGUGGAGGGGUAAAAUCCGUAGAGAUCUAGAGGAAUACUCAUUGCGAAGGCGGCCUGCUAGAACAUAACUGACGCUGAUGCGCGAAAGCGUGGGGAGCAAACAGGAUUAGAUACCCCAGUAGUC